Molecule: ribosomal RNA, 400 nt
Filed under: uncultured bacterium
Lineage: Bacteria
Description: bacterial SSU rRNA
Rfam family: Bacterial small subunit ribosomal RNA
Source: RNAcentral
CGGGUGAGUAAUGUAUCGGAACGUACCUUUCAGUGGGGGAUAACGUAGCGAAAGUUACGCUAAUACCGCAUAUUCUGUGAGCAGGAAAGCAGGGGAUCGCAAGACCUCGCGCUGAUUGAGCGGCCGAUAUCAGAUUAGCUAGUUGGUGAGGUAAAGGCUCACCAAGGCGACGAUCUGUAGCGGGUCUGAGAGGAUGAUCCGCCACACUGGAACUGAGACACGGUCCAGACUCCUACGGGAGGCAGCAGUGGGGAAUUUUGGACAAUGGGGGCAACCCUGAUCCAGCCAUGCCGCGUGAGUGAAGAAGGCCUUCGGGUUGUAAAGCUCUUUCGUCCGGGAAGAAAUCGCAUCAGCUAAUACCUGGUGUGGAUGACGGUACCGGAAUAAGAAGCACCGGCUA